GUGGGAGGGGGCUUGCUCCCGAUAGCGGUGGCUCAGUCAAGGAGAUUGAGACUGACACAUCGCAAUCGGGAGCAAGCCCCCUCCCAC
This 87-nucleotide unclassified non-coding RNA is filed under the name Pseudomonas palleroniana. Lineage: Bacteria; Pseudomonadati; Pseudomonadota; Gammaproteobacteria; Pseudomonadales; Pseudomonadaceae. The record is from RNAcentral.